AGGACGAACGCUGGCGGCGUGCUUAACACAUGCAAGUGGUGCGACGAACCAGGCUUCGGCCUGGGGCAAAGCCGCGAACGGGUGAGUAACACGUGGGUAAUCUGCCCCGAUGACCGGGACAACCCGAGGAAACUCGGGCUAAUACCGGAUGAUGAGCCUUGGCGUAAGCCUUGUCUCUAAAGGAAGCUUCGGCCUCCGCAUUGGGAGGAGCCCGCGGCCCAUUAGCUUGUUGGUGGGGUAAUGGCCUACCAAGGCAACGAUGGGUAGCUGGUCUGAGAGGACGAUCAGCCACACUGGGACUGAGACACGGCCCAGACUCCUACGGGAGGCAGCAGUGGGGAAUCUUGCGCAAUGCGCGAAAGCCUGACGCAGCGACGCCGCGUGGGGGAUGAAGGCCUUCGGGUUGUAACCCUUUCAGCAGGGACGAAGCGAAAGUGACGGUACCUGCAGAAGAAGCGCCGGCUAACUACGUGCCAGCAGCCGCGGU
This 487-nucleotide ribosomal RNA is filed under the name uncultured bacterium. RNAcentral's name for it is "SSU rRNA". It matches the Rfam family "Bacterial small subunit ribosomal RNA", at positions 26 to 521 of the family's 1533-position model. The record is from RNAcentral.